RNAcentral lists this transfer RNA (73 nucleotides) under Anguilla anguilla (European eel). RNAcentral describes it as "tRNA-OTHER". The record is from RNAcentral. Lineage: Eukaryota; Metazoa; Chordata; Actinopteri; Anguilliformes; Anguillidae.
CUGUUUGUGGCCUAGUGGUCAAAGUUACAGUCUAUGGACUACAAAGUUGCUGGUUCAAGCCCAGCCAGGAACA